ACUAAAUCAAGCAACUCCUUGCACUUCCUUUUCAUGCUUACAAGCUCCGAACUUAAGUUCCCAUUCUCCUUCUUCAAACGCUUAUUCUCAUCCCUUAGGGUGUUGUACUCCGACAACGAUGACGUCGACGACGACGACCUUUGAUCUUCAUCAUGAGAUUCUUGUUGUGUUGCUGCUGCCGUUGCUGCUUGCUGCCUGUUUGCCCAUGCUUUUCUUCGACGUAUCUUGCAUAAAAGAUCUUUCUCCCCCUUUCUAAACAUUUGGUUGCAAAAUUCCCACCUGCUUGUUGCUACUUUUCGAAAUCCCUGCAUUCAUAUUACAUCCAUCUAUUUAAUAACAAAUAAAUCUCAAUAUGAAUGUAAAAAUUAAAUGCUAAGGAAGCUAUAUUUAUUUAUUUAUUUUAUAUUAUUAUCGGAUAAGACAUAAUAUGGUGUUAAUAUAACUAUAUUUUAACUUAUUUAUUUAGUAAUAAGUAUAAUGUCAUAUUUACAAGUUUUAUUUUUUAUUAAAAAAUAUUUUUUUAUUUUUUUACGGAUUCACGGAUUUUUUACGGAUUCAGAGAAGUAAAUCCAUAUCCAAUCCACUGACUGCGAAUUUUUAAAUUUUCAAUCUAAUCCAAACCACCAUUCCACGGAUCGAAUUUUUACGAAUUUGAUUUCUGCGGAUCAGACGGAUUGAGCAUAUCGGAUUGGAUUCUGAACACCCCUAUUCCUGAAUGCCAAUGUGAUGGGAGAACACAUGCAUAUACUAAUAAUAUGCACCCUUUGUCUUUGUUUUACGUAGAAACUUGGGUUUAUAAAUUAACUAGAUACCUGGACGGCAACAUAAAAGCAAAAACAAAUAAACUUAAAUCAUGUAAUUAAAAGGGCUUCUGCCCAACUUUAAUUAUCAACCUUAAUAAUAGAUUUUAAAGAGUACAUCAAUAACUACAAUAUUUCUAUCUCUACUAGGCUGCUUCCUUAUUCAUUCAACUUAAGUUAAACAUACUUUUUUUUUUUUUUUGAAUGCUUAACUUCUUGUAAUUCAUUGUAAAAGGUCAAACUAACUGAACUAUCUUUUAAAAAAGAUAUACAUACAUUAUGUAUUGAUAAGCUACUUAAUUACUUCAAUCAAGUACUAUCAAGCCUAUCAAUAGUGUUACCCUAAUUAUAGAGUAUCAUUAUUUGCAUGAUUGAGAUAGUAAAAUGUUAGCACUUUGACAGAUAAUCUCAGCGCUCUCUCUCUUUCUCUUCCUUUCCCUCUCUCCCUCAUCAACUUCAAAUCUAACUCCAAACAACUUCACUAUUAAUGGGCCCCUUUGGUUAUUAUUAAUCUCAUGCCCAUCAUCAUCUUCAUCAUCAUCAUCAUUAUCCAUAUUUGCGUACUUAGCCACUAAAUCAAGCAACUCCUUGCACUUCCUUUUCAUGCUUACAAGCUCCGAACUUAAGUUCCCAUUCUCCUUCUUCAAACGCUUAUUCUCAUCCCUUAGGGUGUUGUACUCCGACAACGAUGACGUCGACGACGACGACCUUUGAUCUUCAUCAUGAGAUUCUUGUUGUGUUGCUGCUGCCGUUGCUGCUUGCUGCCUG
This 1568-nucleotide long non-coding RNA is filed under the name Citrus sinensis (sweet orange). RNAcentral describes it as "long non-coding RNA (CSIN_LNC004599)". The record is from RNAcentral. Lineage: Eukaryota; Viridiplantae; Streptophyta; Magnoliopsida; Sapindales; Rutaceae.